Molecule: long non-coding RNA, 352 nt
Filed under: Ananas comosus (pineapple)
Lineage: Eukaryota; Viridiplantae; Streptophyta; Magnoliopsida; Poales; Bromeliaceae
Description: long non-coding RNA (ACOM_LNC022373)
Source: RNAcentral
UUUUUAAAUAAUUAAUUUAGACGUAUUGGUUCAGUGGUUUCCUUUAUUUGAAUAAUUGGGAUUUUGUGAAUGUAAUAAAGGAUUUAUGGAUUUCUUACGAAAUGGAAAUGAUUUUCUACCCCUCGUGGUAGCGCGUUUUUAAAAGAUAAAAGUUUUCGGGUGGAAAACGAUUUUAAAAAGAUUUUCUUGGUUUUCAUUACUUAGUGUUUCAAAAUAAGUUUCCAGGUAGGAAACAUUUUAAACUAAUAGAUGUGGAUAUAUGAAUAUUUGUGAUGAAAUGAAUGCGGAUGUGAAUGUAUAUGGAUAUUGGUAUGUGUGUGGUUGUAUCUUGUACUUGUGCGACACCGUGCAA